ACUUCAUGUUGAAACCAGUGUAGCACAAAACAGAAACACACACGGAAGUCUUGGUUCUUGUUGGCCUGAAGAUGCCUUCAAGAAGCCAGAUUUUACUGCAACUGUGCGAUACAACAACGGAGUUUGGGAAGAUGACGGGAUAAAAGUGGAGGGAGGUGAUGUUUAUGGGGAUGCUGUCACGUUCACUGGUGGUCAGGCUGGUCCACCAUGGAGGGACAAACACUCACAACCAUCUUCCAGCUACCAGAAAAAUCCCUUUCUGACCUGCUCCAGUAAUUCUGGGUCUCCUGUGUCUGCUGCUGUUAGUGGGGAUCAGUGUCCUGUUCAAACUCUCUGUUUUGAAAGAAAAACAACCAAUAACUGAGUUUGAAGAGCCGAUAAGACACAGUUCUGAUAACCUGAGCAGCAGUUUCUGCAGAUUCAAGAAAGAGAAGCAAACAAAGUGGGAGAAAGCAGAAUGGCACAGGAUUGGAUGUCAUUGUUACUACAUGUCUACUGAGAAGAAAAACUGGACUGAGAGCCAGAAAGACUGCGAGAGAAGAGGAGCAACCCUGCUGAUAAUAAACAGCAAACUUAAACACGAACUUUUAACUGAUCUGAUUAAACGUGGAGAUAAUGAAGAUUCCUGGAUUGGUCUGGAAAGAGUAGAAACAAAGGAGUGGAAGAAGAAAUGGC
Long non-coding RNA from Melanotaenia boesemani (Boeseman's rainbowfish), 675 nucleotides. RefSeq lists it as uncharacterized. The transcript has 5 exons. The record is from RefSeq and is a predicted model, not a curated record. NCBI's taxonomy places the organism in Eukaryota, Metazoa, Chordata, Actinopteri, Atheriniformes, Melanotaeniidae.